UACUCGUUCAUUUCCAUCUUGAACCUGGGAAAGUACAGUUCCUAAACCAUCUCCACUUGCAUAUGUGUAGAGGAUAUAAUUAUUCUCCGUGUUAAUGGGGGGAAGCAAGAAUGGGGAUUCCUUGAGGACUUGAAAGGCAGUCUCAUAUGCUGAAGUCCAUAUAAAUUGUCUCUUUUCCUCGGUCAGAUGAUGCAUCACUUUUGCGAUUAUUGAAAAUCCAGGCACAAACUGACUAUAGUAGGUAUAGAGUUCCGAGAAACUCCUUACUUCGUGCUUAUUCUUAGGUUGAAGCCACUCCUUAACAGGACGGAUCUUCACGGGAUCUGUUCGCACUCCAUCCUGCAAUACAAUAUGUCCAAGGAAUGUUACCUUAUGUUGGAACAGAAAGCACGCCUUAGAACUUAACUUAAGAUUGGCAUGGCGAAGCUUGUCAAAUACAUCCUGGAGAUUUUGCAAAUGUUCCUUCACUGUAUUCCCUAUUACAAUAAUGUCGUCCAUGUAUACUAGGCAUGUUUUCCAAGUCAAGCGGUGCAGGAAAAGUCCAUCAAUCUCUCAAAAGUUGCCAGAGCAUUACAUAACCCGAAUGGUAACAUAGUGAACUGGAACAGAUCACUACCUGUUGGGGAAUCAGUCUUCUCCUGGGUGUAGCUCCACUUGCCAGUAACCACUCUUCAGGUCCAAUGUAGAGAACCAUCUGGUGCCAGAGAAUGUAUCAAGUGUGUCAUCUUAACCGAGGGGGGUGGGUUAUCUGUCCUUUUUGAUGAUAUUGUCGCGGGUUGAAAUUUUGCAGGGUUGUUGAAAUCAAAUUUAGGGACUUUACUGACGGGACUCUGGGCUGGCUGCUCUGUUCACUCGUCAGCGCAAGUGGCGUGACCAUGUAAUUGGGGCACGGGGCCGGCGCGGCGCGCUGCGGGCUUGCAGAAUUUUGUUUGUUUGUUUGGCCGCGCGCUGGCGCAGCCACGGGCCGCAGUUACUGGGGCGCGCUGUCGUAACAAGCCGCGCGGUGUGGCCUGCACAUUGGGGUAGAGGGGGGGUAGUCUUCCCAGAUGUUCUAGUUAGUUGUUUAGUAAAUUUGACUUCAAUAACGAGCUUUUGUUAUGGUAGGCGCGGCAGGGCGCGCGAAUUUAAGCGCAAGUGAGUGAUGACUCGGGGCUCACUCAGGCGGAGGCUAUGCGUCUCACCUGUGGUCACGAGUUGUUAGUUCGUUCGUGAUGUAGGAAUUCAGGCUCACUCAGGCGGAGGCUAUGCGUCUCACCUGUGGUCACGAGUUGUUAGUUCGUUCGUGAUGUAGGAAUUCAGGCUCACUCAGGCGGAGGCUAUGCGUCUCACCUGUGGUCACGAGUUGUUAGUUCGUUCGUGAUGUAGGAAUUCAAGCUUUCGGGCGGAAGCUAUGGUCGACGCCAGAGGCCACGAGUCGUUUAAUUUAAGUUAGGUCAUAAUGUAGUCGUCAAGCUUUCGGGCGGAGGCUAUGGCCCUCGUCAGGGGUCACGCGUCAUAGUUUUUAAAAUGUAAUGUUCGUUCGGGAUUUCAAGGGCAGGAGAGGCCCCUACGUUAUUUUUUUAAAGUAAUCGAUCAAGAAAGGCUUUUCGGAAAAUGUGAGUAUGGACUUAUCUUUGUUUUAAUUUUAAGUAUUAAUUAUGAUUUGAGGUAUUCGGAAGGACUAGGGAAGUGUUUAGUGAAGUUCUCUCAUUCUCUCUCUUGUAAGGUCGUUCAAUCGUUAAGGAAGUAAAGAGAUUAUUGUUUUAAAUUGUAAUCCCGCUAUUUAAAUGUUCUUUAAAAUGAUGUUGAGUAUUUGACUUUAAGAAUAAAAUAAUUUUAAUUAAGUAUUAUGUUAUUUUGCAAAAUCUCCUUAGUUCAGCUCUCACCAGACAUCCUGUACGGGAUGACGAACCUAUGAUCCUAGGUACAGUAAAGUAUUUUAUGAAGUUAAGACUAGUUGAUGCCAAGCGAGUUGUUUCUAUGUAAAGAGCUACGAUUCUCGCCCCCCCCUCUGAAGGUGGAUCGUGACAGAAAUGGCGGUGGCACCGGCUAGGUGCACGUGACAGAAAUGGUGGAGGCGCCGGGUAGGUUCUAUUUCUGGAGAGAGAGAGAGGUAGAUUUUUAUGUUUAUUAUUAAGUUAGUUUCAGCUUCUGAUAGCAGGUUAUUAAGAGUUUACUUGAGGAGAGGAUUACGGAAUUUUAGUCUAUAGUGGAGGAAGUCUUUGAGAUUUUUUUUUUGACGUAACAGAUGUUUAUUUGAGGAUACUUGUAAGGAUAAAGUUUAUAGUGAUAAGUUGUUUUAAGUCGUUGAAUUUAUUGUAGAUUUAUAUCGGGGAUUAUUACGUGAGGAGAAUACGUUAUAAGUUAAAUGCUUAUUAGAGAUAAUGCAAGUGGUUUAAUUUAAUUGAAGUUCAUUUUAAGAUUGUAGGUUAAGAGAGUUAAAAUUUAAAAUAAAGUUUUUUUCGUAAAUAGGAAUUAUUUUCAAGUCAAGUUUGUUUUGCUGUCGUGCGCUUAGGAGACGAGACGUACGAAUUAAAUCAGUCGAGGGAAGGAUAGACGGUAAAAAGGAAUUAAAGAGAAAACGAGAGUUUAUUUAAAAGAGAGUUAUAGAAUUUAUAGUGAUGUUUUGUUUUAAUAAGAAAAAUGUUGAGAGUUGUUUCAGAACGACACGUCAGUGGACGUGGCAGAAUGAACACGUGACGGGGAGGUGCUGAGACCUAGCGGAGAACGGAGGAACCGCAAGCGAGGGUUGGCGCACCUGAUGGAAUUCGGUGACGUCACGAGCACGUACAGAGACGUGGACGGCCGUGACCUUGUUUUGAUCAGCUGUACGGUAACUUAGCGAUAAGAAAAUAGACUAUUGGUUAAAUAAAUUUAAAUUUAAGUGUGUUUUAGAAGAAGAGGAACUUUCAGUAUAUUCCUUAAGAUGAGCUGAGCAGCAGUCCAGUUUACAAGAUGACAAGAGUUCGAGAGACAAGAUACAAGAUCACUGAAACAAGAGCCAAGACUGAAGAUUCAAGAGAAGAGAAAGCUGGCAGCCAUGGACUUACAAGUGGAGAUUAAUAAGGUCAUGUAAAGUUUUAUUUUUUUUUAUGGAAGACAGUAACUGGAGUUUUUUUUUGUUAUAAACAUUAUUUACAGAACUUUUUAGGUUAUAGUAAUGUAAUGGAACUAGUGAGUUGUGGUAGCUGUCAAAAAGAACUAAUACCUUAAGUUUAAUUUUUAAAGUUAAUUUUCUUAAUUUACAGAGGGAUUAGUAGUUUUUUUUUAAAACCUUAUUUAGGUUGGAAUUUAAAUACAAUAGCUUAUUAUAAAUGUGUACGAACAGUUCAAGUUCACAGUACUGAUAGGUAGGUCAGAUGAUCUUAUUGAUUUUGAUGAUUUGUUGUUUUGAGUUGAUUUUUAGGUGUUGUGAAUUAGACAAUGAAAUAGUUUUGAAAACUUAAAUUAUUUCAAGCUAAGAAAUAGUAAAUUUAAUUGUAACUCAAAGGACACCAGAAUUUAAUUUUUUUUUUGAAUUAGUAAUGUUUGAAAAUUUUAUACUUUACAAGAAAGGUUAUAAACAAACAGAUCGGAUGGAACAAGGAUGCAGUAAAUCACAAUUUCAUUUAGAAUUAUUGAUUUGCUUUUGAGGUUAUGAAGGAAAAGUAGCUAUAAUUUAAAAAUUUGAAUAAAAAUGGUUUUUUUUUAAUUUGUUUGAAAUAGAAAAUUUAAAAGUUAAUUAGUCAUGAUCUAGGUGGGUGAUGGGGUGGGAAUUGGCCACUCUUUUUCCCUAUAACCUCCCUAACAUGGCCUUCUAUUACAUCUAACAGAAAAAAAAAAGAAGAAAAAGAAGACUUAUUAUUAGUUAGAAUGUUUUUUUAUGAAGAUACCUGAUGAACUUUUUUUUUAUUGUUGGGAAGAAUAGUAGCAAGAUUAAUCAGAUGUUUUACUCAGAAGAAGAAGAAGAUAAAGCAGUUUUAUGACUCGACAAGCCAGAGAUUGGUGUUUCCCCUCUGCGCUUCUAUUGACUACGUUGUUUACUCUCAUGGGAUAGCUGGUUCGGCACCAUGGAGAGAGAUUGGUGGGCAUUGUGGUUGCCCCCAGAAGAAAAGAAGAGUAGAAGAGGUUAUGGGUGGGUCAUGUGAACUGACCUUCAACCCAGUUACUUCGUGGGGACUAUUUGCUGUAUAGAGAAGAUCAAGACUCAAGAGUUAGGGAAAAUCAUUGGAGGUCAUGUUUCCCUUCCUUAAGUUUUUCCUAUCAAAUUAUUUGCCUGAUUAGAUUAUGCUAAGGGUGGGAUACUUUAUGUUAGCAGUUGAAUUAAUUAAUUUUAUUUUUUUGUGUGUUUGCAUCCUUGCCCAUCGAUUGCAGUUUAGUAGUUAGUUUUGUAUUUGUCAGGCGUGAUGGUAAUGCCUGUUGAUGAUGUUUCAGAAUUGUAAUCUGUUCGUGAUGAGGAUGGCACAACUCCGAAGCAGAUGUGGGGAGAAGUUGUGAGCUGCCCUGGAAGCCAGUCCAGUAGCUGUUGGAGUUGAGUGGUGUUUGCUGAUGGCCAGCCCAGGGAGCUACUCUUCUCGACAACACUGACUUCGAGGAGUUGCACCAACCUUCACGAGAUAAGAGUUUAAUUAAUUGAAACACUGUAAGGACACUUAAUUUUUUUUGAAGAACGAAAGAAGUAUGGUAAUAAACGGAAACCGAAAAAAAAAAAA
This is a long non-coding RNA of Bacillus rossius redtenbacheri, 4670 nucleotides long. RefSeq lists it as uncharacterized. The transcript has 2 exons. NCBI's taxonomy places the organism in Eukaryota, Metazoa, Arthropoda, Insecta, Phasmatodea, Bacillidae. The record is from RefSeq and is a predicted model, not a curated record.